UGCCACAGUCAUAUCAAUCUGCAGGCCAAGACCGAUACUCACUAAAGCUAAGCAGAGCUGAGCCUAGUCAGUACCUGCAUGGGAGACCACAUGGGAAAACUAUAGGUGCUGUUAGAA
Danio rerio (zebrafish) is the source of this 117-nucleotide ribosomal RNA. Lineage: Eukaryota; Metazoa; Chordata; Actinopteri; Cypriniformes; Danionidae. The record is from Ensembl.